RNAcentral lists this small nucleolar RNA (91 nucleotides) under Drosophila mojavensis. RNAcentral's name for it is "snoRNA:GI25380". Lineage: Eukaryota; Metazoa; Arthropoda; Insecta; Diptera; Drosophilidae. The record is from RNAcentral.
UUUAAAUGAUGAUAAAAACUUAUUAAAUAACGACAUCGAAAAACAAAAAAGCUUGAUAAACCGUGAUAUCUAUAAUGAUAGGACUGAUCAC